RNAcentral lists this ribosomal RNA (500 nucleotides) under uncultured bacterium. Its description in RNAcentral is "bacterial SSU rRNA". It matches the Rfam family "Bacterial small subunit ribosomal RNA", at positions 52 to 576 of the family's 1533-position model. The record is from RNAcentral.
UACAUGCAAGUCGAACGAACUCUUCGGAGUUAGUGGCGGACGGGUGAGUAACACGUGGGAACGUGCCUUUAGGUUCGGAAUAACUCAGGGAAACUUGUGCUAAUACCGAAUGUGCCCUUCGGGGGAAAGAUUUAUCGCCUUUAGAGCGGCCCGCGUCUGAUUAGCUAGUUGGUGAGGUAAAGGCUCACCAAGGCGACGAUCAGUAGCUGGUCUGAGAGGAUGAUCAGCCACAUUGGGACUGAGACACGGCCCAAACUCCUACGGGAGGCAGCAGUGGGGGAAUCUUGCGCAAUGGGGCGAAAGCCCUGACGCAGCCAUGCCGCGUGAAAUGGAUGGAGGUCUUAGGGAUUGUAAAAUUCCUUUCGCCGGGGGACGAUAAUGACGGUACCCCGGAAGAAGAAGCCCCCGGCUAACUUCGUGCCCAGCCAGCCGCGGUAAUUACGAAAGGGGGCCUAGCCGUUGCUUCGGAAAUACUUGGGGCGGUAAAGGGAAGCGUAAGC